AUUGAACGCUGGCGGCAUGCCUUACACAUGCAAGGUCGAACGGCAGCACGGGAGCAAUCCUGGUGGCGAGUGGCGAACGGGUGAGUAAUAUAUCGGAACGUGCCCAGUCGUGGGGGAUAACGUAGCGAAAGCUACGCUAAUACCGCAUACGAUCUACGGAUGAAAGCGGGGGAUCGCAAGACCUCGCGCGAUUGGAGCGGCCGAUAUCAGAUUAGGUAGUUGGUGAGGUAAAGACUCACCAAGCCGACGAUCUGUAGCUGGUCUGAGAGGACGACCAGCCACACUGGGACUGAGACACGGCCCAGACUCCUACGGGAGGCAGCAGUGGGGAAUUUUGGACAAUGGGCGCAAGCCUGAUCCAGCAAUGCCGCGUGCAGGAUGAAGGCCUUCGGGUUGUAAACUGCUUUUGUACGGAACGAAACGGUGAGCUCUAAUACAGUUUGCUAAUGACGGUACCGUAAGAAUAAGCACCGGCUAACUACGUG
This 485-nucleotide ribosomal RNA is filed under the name uncultured bacterium. Its description in RNAcentral is "bacterial SSU rRNA". It matches the Rfam family "Bacterial small subunit ribosomal RNA", at positions 30 to 507 of the family's 1533-position model. The record is from RNAcentral.